UACGUAGGGUGCAAGCGUUAAUCGGAAUUACUGGGCGUAAAGCGUGCGCAGGCGGUGAUGUAAGACAGGUGUGAAAUCCCCGGGCUUAACCUGGGAACUGCAUUUGUGACUGCAUCGCUGGAGUGCGGCAGAGGGGGAUGGAAUUCCGCGUGUAGCAGUGAAAUGCGUAGAUAUGCGGAGGAACACCGAUGGCGAAGGCAAUCCCCUGGGCCUGCACUGACGCUCAUGCACGAAAGCGU
Molecule: ribosomal RNA, 239 nt
Filed under: uncultured bacterium
Lineage: Bacteria
Description: partial 16S ribosomal RNA
Rfam family: Bacterial small subunit ribosomal RNA
Source: RNAcentral